RNAcentral lists this long non-coding RNA (2198 nucleotides) under Anas platyrhynchos platyrhynchos (common mallard). RNAcentral describes it as "lncRNA (ENSAPLG00000028605.1)". Lineage: Eukaryota; Metazoa; Chordata; Aves; Anseriformes; Anatidae. The record is from RNAcentral.
AUGCAAUUGCUUGGGCAGGCCAGGGCAGAGGAGAUGUCCUUGCCCUGCCGGGAGGAGGUCGCUUGUUUCAGCAUCUCUGCUGGGCUCCUGCAGGACAUGGGAUGCCUUGGCACUGUGACAGCACAAAGAGUGGCUCGUGUUUUGCCACCUGAGCUCCGCCAGGACCACCCGCUGCGCCGAGAGCCGGAGGUCCGGUUUCCACCGCGGCUCUGUCCUCAGCUUCCCAGGCAUCUCUGGUGUACAAAAGCAUGCUCGUUGUGACACCAGCCCCAUUGCUCCCCAAAGGACUCAGCCUUCUAACUCCAGACCAUGGCACACACCUCUGAAUGGCAUUACCGUUCUGAGAAGUGCAGUGAGACCACUCUUCACCCCUACUGUGAGGUGGUAAUUAUACUUCAAAAGCACUUUGGUGCGCCUCUCCCUCACAAGGAAAGCAUAACUCAGAAGUGACAGAAGGGAUGUUGCAGAGAAGUUGUUCAUCGCUCAUUAACGUCUCAGCUGUGGUGGGUGCAAUGAUAGUGAGAAAUGCCAGCUGUCGUGGGGUUUAAUAGUAGUUCUUCCAUGGACAGUUAAUUGUACUAAAUCAUAUCAUAAGCGUUUUCUGACAAGCAACUCUUUAUCACAAAGCUAAGACUUUUAAGUGAAUGUUUAAGUCACUUCAUAACUGUUUCAGGAUGAUAUCAGAAAGUGGAAUAUGCAUCUGGGAAAGUUGCUCUUGCACAUUAAAACUCUACAGAGUGUGUGGUUAAUGUACAAACCCCAACAAAGAUGCGUUCAGGUUAAGGACUCGUCCAAGAGUCACUGAAGUCAAAUAUGCAGUGCUUGGGGAUAUGCUGGGAAAUUAUAUUUACAUUCACUGACUGCCAUUAAUUUCUGAAAUGUGUUGUCCUGUUUUUUCCCUUGUGGUCACAACAUUUCAGAAGCAAGUGUGAAACGACAGACAAUUACAUUUUGCCACUAAAAAUCUAAGACUUCUGUCUUAGCAAUCAUGGCUAAUCAGAAUUCUGGCCUGGAAGGCUGGAAAGGAAGGGAGAUAAACACUUGCAGAGGCAUUCAUUUCUGACCACGAGAAGGGACAGACCCUGAGGCUAGUAGAAAUGCUUGGGGUCACACAGGGAAUGUUAUUUAGACCCCAGCACACACCUUACUUACUCUGCAGUGGGAGUACAGGUGACAGCAGUGAUUGGUGUGGGUUGGAGGCUUGUGGAAGUCUCCCACCUUUACCUGCAUUGCCACGUAGGGGGGAGGAUGUUCACACCUGGAUGGCAUACACAAAUUGAGGGUGCAGCAGCAGAGCUGUAGAUGGAGGCUUGCUUGCAAACUGCUGUGGCUGGAGAAGAUGCAGGGUCUGUCUAUGCUGAUGGUGGCCCCACAAAGGUAUCCUUGCACCUUCACUCAUGAUGCAUCUGUCAUUGUGACCUGAGACAGCAACUGAAGUCCCGGUCUGUGGAAUCAGGGGUUGCUUUCUCUUUGCUGGUCCAUCUGGAGACCUCUCGGGCUGCCUAGAGGCAGGCUGGUGUUUGGAGUAGCAAGAAGAAGAGAAGAAUAAGUCACAUCUGUCAAUCAGUAAUAAUGGACAAAGUGCUUUUAUCCAUGAUUUUUUGAAGAAUCACAGUAAAAGUAUAGACAAAUAGCUGACUUCUAAUAACUAAGUGCUACAAGCUAAAAUGAAAUACAAAUUUGAAGGGAUGAUUUGCACUUAAUUUCCUUGUAAGUAUCAUGCUAUAUAACAUUGCUUGAAGGCCUUAUAUAUGACUGAAUUUCAUUCUAACUGCAAUAUGUAAGGCACGAUUUAGUGUCUGGCUUACAAGAACUAAUAAGCAUCUAAAGAAAGCUAUCUUAAAACGUCAAUAUGAGCCUGGCUGAACAGAAAUUACUUGUCUGUAGCCAUCUGUUAUGCACUAGAGUUAAACAGACACAAGUGCUUUUUCCUGGAAGCCAUCUGCACAAAUAUUGAUUGAGUAAUUUCAUAAAAUUUCGAUUUAGUAAUUUACCAGUUGACGAGGUGAUAGUGCAUAGCAUAGGUCUGAGUUCCCUGGCAUUUCUACUGCAGCUAAAACAACAUUGAUGUGCAUUUCUUUUGCCAUUAGCAUUAUUGCAAAAGGAGACACUGGAAUGAAAUCCAACAUAACCUAUUGAGAGAGUCUGUAAAAUAUUUUCCUAUUAACAUCAGAAUAAAAAAAUAAUGUGGUAUUCCA